UGCAGUCGAACGAGGAAGCACCUUCGGGUGUGAGUAGAGUGGCGCACGGGUGAGUAACACGUAGGUAACCAACCUUGUGGCGCGGGAUAACGGUUCGAAAGGACCGCUAAUACCGCAUAAGUCUAUUUGGUCUGCGGACCGAAUAGGGAAAGGGGGGCUUCGGCUCUCGCCAUAAGACGGGCCUGCGCGUCAUCAGCUAGUAGGUGAGGUAACGGCUUACCUAGGCUUGGACGACUAGCUGGUCUGAGAGGAUGAUCAGCCACACUGGAACUGAGACACGGUCCAGACUCCUGCGGGAGGCAGCAGUGGGGAAUAUUGGACAAUGGGCGAAAGCCUGAUCCAGCCACGCCGCGUGUGUGAUGAAGGUCUUCGGAUCGUAAAGCACUGUGGGGAGGGAAGAACAAGCUAUCGGUUAAUACCCGGUAGCCCUGACGGUACCUCCUUAGCAAGCACCGGCUAACUCCGUGCCAGCAGCCGCGGUAAUACGGAGGGUGCAAACGUUGCUCGGAAUCAUUGGGCGUAAAGCGCGUGUAGGCGGCAGGGUAAGUCAGAUGUGAAAGCCCCGGGCUUAACCUGGGAACUGCAUUUGAUACUGCUCCGCUAGAGUACGGGAGAGGGUAGCGGAAUUCCCGGUGAAGAGGUGAAAUUCGUAGAUAUCGGGAGGAACACCAGUGGCGAAGGCGGCUACCUGGACCGAUACUGACGCUGAGACGCGAAAGCGUGGGUAGCAAACAGGAUUAGAUACCCUGGUAGUCCACGCCGUAAACGAUGAGUGCUAGGCGCUGCGGGUAUUGACCCCUACAGUGCCGUAGUUAACGCGUU
RNAcentral lists this ribosomal RNA (822 nucleotides) under uncultured marine bacterium. RNAcentral describes it as "bacterial SSU rRNA". It matches the Rfam family "Bacterial small subunit ribosomal RNA", at positions 56 to 861 of the family's 1533-position model. The record is from RNAcentral.